RNAcentral lists this unclassified non-coding RNA (370 nucleotides) under soil metagenome. RNAcentral's name for it is "partial contains 5.8S ribosomal RNA, internal transcribed spacer 2, and large subunit ribosomal RNA". The stretch from base 1 to 120 matches the Rfam family "5.8S ribosomal RNA", at positions 35 to 154 of the family's 154-position model. The record is from RNAcentral.
GAUGAAGAACGUAGCGAAAUGCGAUAAGUAAUGUGAAUUGCAGAAUUCAGUGAACCAUCGAAUCUUUGAACGCACAUUGCGCCCGGCAGUAAUCUGCCGGGCAUGCCUGUCCGAGCGUCAUUUCUACCCUCGAGCGAGUCCAGCAUCUAGGUGCUGGGCCUCGCCCGGCGUUGGAGCACUACGGGAAGCCCUGUGCUGUCCCCCGUAGGCCCCGAAAUGAAGUGGCGGUCCUGCCGCGGCGCCCCCUGCGUAGUAUAACAGCUCGCUUCGGGACCCGGUGGAGGCCUGCCGUCAAACCUAUACUCUCUAAGUUUGACCUCGGAUCAGGUAGGGUUACCUGCUGAACUUAAGCAUAUCAAUAAGCGGAGGA